RNAcentral lists this transfer RNA (63 nucleotides) under Pseudanoplocephala crawfordi. RNAcentral describes it as "tRNA-Phe". Lineage: Eukaryota; Metazoa; Platyhelminthes; Cestoda; Cyclophyllidea; Hymenolepididae. The record is from RNAcentral.
UUUCUCUUAGCUUAAGACAAAAGCAUCAAUUUGAAGCAUUGAAGAUAAUUUAAUUAGAGAGUC